This 355-nucleotide ribosomal RNA is filed under the name Streptomyces sp. Ru62. Its description in RNAcentral is "bacterial LSU rRNA". It matches the Rfam family "Bacterial large subunit ribosomal RNA", at positions 1 to 315 of the family's 2925-position model. The record is from RNAcentral. Lineage: Bacteria; Bacillati; Actinomycetota; Actinomycetes; Kitasatosporales; Streptomycetaceae.
ACAGUGGACGCGAGCAUCUGUGGCCAAGUUUUUAAGGGCGCACGGUGGAUGCCUUGGCACCAGGAACCGAUGAAGGACGUGGGAGGCCGCGAUAGUCCCCGGGGAGUCGUCAACCAGGCUUUGAUCCGGGGGUUUCCGAAUGGGGAAACCCGGCAGUCGUCAUGGGCUGUCACCCACUGCUGAACACAUAGGCAGUGUGGAGGGAACGCGGGGAAGUGAAACAUCUCAGUACCCGCAGGAAGAGAAAACAACCGUGAUUCCGGGAGUAGUGGCGAGCGAAACCGGAUGAGGCCAAACCGUAUGCGUGUGAGACCCGGCAGGGGUUGCGUAUGCGGGGUUGUGGGAUCUCUCUUCC